UUUAAAUUUAAUAAAAUAUACAUCAAUUAAUAUAAAUAUUAUGGUAAAUUAUAUACGGAGUCACUAAUAAUAAAGUAGAGUUUGAGUAGCUUGGUGUCGUCAGGCGUAUUUUGGGAAAAUUAUAACUGCUUUAGCCUAACACAGGUGGUAUCGUUAUUUUACCCAGUUUUGACAUGUACAACCGUCAAAAUGAACGCUCAGUGCAUAGGCUGGUUCUUCCUCCAGAUUCUCACAGUUGCUCAAAUCCUCUUCCAGUUUCGUUUGGAAAAUGGGCGUUAAUUCUACCUCUGUUUUUUGACCUUAUUCUCCAACUAUUUCACUUCUCUCCUUGGAUCUAUACUCUAUGCUAUGACCAGAUAGUUCUGUCACAGAUCUCUUGUUCAACUUUAAAGAAAUUGUUUAUAUUGGGUAAAUUAUUGGUCCAUCAUUCUCCGCACUGCGGCAGCUUGUGAACUCUGUUGCUUAACCAAAAGUCCUAAAUUGAGGGAAAUGCUAACGAUACUCUUUUCUCCUGAGAAGAAAGCCGCGUAUUGAUGAAGAUACAAAGGAGAAUGGGAAAUGUGAUUUUCCCAAUUAAAGUACAUUUAUAGAAGUGCAAGUCAUACAGUUGAAAGCUUGAGCCACUGCCAGUCCAAGACAUGUUAUAUAAAUUCAGUGUGUGAGAUUCACUGCUAUUAGUGAAACAGUCAAUAUAUGAACCUCUAUGCGAGAUAUAUUUGUUAUUUUGGUACUUUGUUAAUGCAGUUGUUGAAAUUCAUUUCUCUGAUCAGAUGUUGUUUAUCUGCUGGACUUUGAAUCUAUCUUUUUUUAGUUGGUACCAAGUUUUGUUAAGAUCGACUAGUUUUUGGUAAAAAGGUCUUUUUACUGCAAUUUUUUGUA
Nicotiana tabacum (common tobacco) is the source of this 879-nucleotide long non-coding RNA. RefSeq lists it as uncharacterized. The record is from RefSeq and is a predicted model, not a curated record. Lineage: Eukaryota; Viridiplantae; Streptophyta; Magnoliopsida; Solanales; Solanaceae.